This 5035-nucleotide long non-coding RNA is filed under the name Podarcis lilfordi (Lilford's wall lizard). The record is from RNAcentral. Lineage: Eukaryota; Metazoa; Chordata; Lepidosauria; Squamata; Lacertidae.
UCCCGCCGGAGUGGUACCUAUUUAUCUACUUGCACUGGCGUGCUUUCGAGUUGGUAGGUUGGCAGGAGCUGGGACAGAGCAACGGGAGCUCACCCCGUCGUGGAGAUUCAAACUGCUGACCUUCUGAUCGGCAAGUCCUAGGCUCUGUGGUUUAACCCACAGCGCCACCCGCCUCACCAAAAAUCAAUGUACUGCACUAUAAAAUAAAUAAGACAGUAUUGUAGAUGUUAAAAAUUAAAAUUAAUUAUAUUUUUUUACCUGCACUGAUGAUAGUCAUUGUUUGGAUGGGAGGCUUUUAUCAAUUUCUGCAGUCACACAGUCAAUCAAUCAGUAGCUGAACUGGGUUCCACACAGUCACAAAAACAAAUUAACCAAAAAAGCUUCAAAAACAAAAGUGCCAAACUUAAUCUGUUCUGGAAGUCCGUUGACUUCCAAAAUGUUCAAAAACCAAGGCACAGCUUCUGAUUGGUACAGGCGCCCUGGAAACAAUAGCUGACAGCCACAUCGGACAUUUGGCUUCUGAAAAACGUUUGAAAACUGGAAUACUUACUUCCGGGUUUUCAGCAUUUGGGAACCAAGGUGUUUGAGAACCAAGGUACCAUUGUACUUCCUUCUCACCAAAUCCCAGUUCUGUCUUGAUGUGCAGUUGCCAGAACAAUGGUUGGACUGCACUCAUAUGUAUACUUAAGUAAAGGGACCCCUGACCAUUAGGUCCAGUCGUGGCCGACUCUGGGGUUGCGGUGCUCAUCUCACUUUAUUGGCCGAGGGAGCCGGUGAACAGCUUCCGAGUCAUGUGGCCAGCAUGAAUAAGCCGCUUCUGGCGAUCCAGAGCAGCGCACGGAAACGCCGUUUACCUUCCCGCCGGAGCGGUACCUAUUUAUCUACUUGCACUUUGAUGUGCUUUCGAACUGCUAGGUUGGCAGGAGCAGGGACCGAGCAACGGGAGCUCACCCCGUCGCGGGGAUUCGAACUGCUGACCUUUUGAUCAGCAAGCCCUAGGCUCUGUGGUUUAACCCACAGCACCACCCGCGUGCCAUAAACACCAUAUACCUACCUUGGAGUAAUUAUUAUUGAACUCAGUGGAAAUUACUUUUGAGUAGACAUGAAUCAUUCUCUCGGGUUAUUACACUGUGCCUUCUUUUAAAAACCCACACAGAGUUCUCCCUAUGAUCCCUGGAGGAGGAAAAUCAAUAGCCGAAUAUCACUGCCGCGGUCUUAGGUGGGUGAUGGAUUGGGAAGUCCUGCCCGUAAUGAAGCAGUAAAGUCGAGCAGAAUGGAAAAUAUUUCAUUAGACGACACAUAAAUUCAGGCUUUAUGAUGAUGUGUGUAAGAGAUUUGGGAGUACCGUGGCUCCUUUCUGUCAUUGCAAACUUGGGAAGCUCUCAAACUGGGCCUCCGAAACUUCGAGAUGAGACCGAGUUUAUAAAGUAGCAAAUCUGGCAGGUAAUGCUGCUCAAAAUGAGGAGAUUAGAAUAAGGCACUUGCUUGCACGAGAGUUGAGAUCGAUAAAAAAUAUGUGGAGCUGAAUCCCAAAUGGGUUUCUGCAAAGAGAAACUCAAAAUAGAUCCAUGAUUAUUACAGAGCUGGCUAAACCAGUGAGAUAGAAUCAAAACAGGGAGGUAGUCACAGCCUCCAGUCUGCUUCAAGAGCUGACCGCCUGCAAUGUGGCCAAUCAAGUACAGUGGUACCUCGGGUUACAUACGCUUCAGGUUACAUACGCUUCAGGUUAUGACUCCGCUAACCAAGAAAUAGUACCUCAGGUUAAGAACUUUGCUUCAGGGUAAGAACAGAAAUUGUGUGGCGGCAGCAGCAGGAGGCCCCUUUAGCUAAAGUGGUGCUUCAGGUUAAGAACAGUUUCAGAACCUCCAGAACAAAUUACGUUCUUAACCCGAGGUACCACUAUAACCAAAAAGUAAAUGGCAAAUUAUGACUCCUCUUUGAAAUUGAUAAAAUAACAUUUUACCAGAACCUGACUGAAGACCCCAGUAAUACUUUCAUAGCACAUGGAAUGGUGUGCGCGAAUAUACAUCCACACUGUGCAAAAUGUACAUCCACAUUGUGCAUUAUAUGCUAAUGGGGGUGAGGGUAGCCAAUGGGUCUCAAACUUUCUGUGAGUCAGGGCAGACUAUGUGGAUGAGACCAAUAGUGGGUCCAACAGUCAAGAAGGUGGUUUCUGAAUGUGCUCUAGACAGUAGUGUGGGGCAUUUGGGGUUUGUCCACUUGGGAAGGUAGCCCAUCUAGGAGAAGGAAAACUCCGUUCCUAAGCUUCAGCUGCCUUACAUGAUAACUUCAGGAGAAGAAAAAGGCUAAGGCGUAAGCCCUACACCAGUCCAGAGUAGAGUUGCUGGGGUUGGAUAGAACCUUGUAAAAAAAAAUGUAAAGGACCCCUGAACAGUUAAGUCCAGUCAAUGGUGACUAAGGGGUUGCGGCGCUCAUCUUGCUUUCAGGCCAAGGGAGCCAGCAUUUGUCCACAGACAGAUUUCCGGGUCAUGUGGCCAGCAUGACUAAACCACUUCUGGCUCAAUGGGACACCGUGACGGAAACCAGAGCGCACAGAAACGCCGUUUACCUUCCUGCCACAGCAGUACCUACCUGUAUUUAUCUACUUGCACUGGCGUGCUUUUGAACUGCUAGGUUGGCAGGAGCUGGGACAAAGAAACAGGACAAAUUCGAAGCCCAAGAGGCAAGCCCAAGAGGCUCAGUGUGGAGAGCCAGUGUGGUGCAGUGGUUAAGAGCGGUAGACAUGUAAUCUGGUGAACCGGGUUCGCGUCUCCGUUCCUCCACAUGCAGCUGCUGGGUGACCUUGGACUAGUCACACUUCUCUGAAGUCUCUCAGCCUCACUCAUCUCACAGAGCGUUUGUUGUGGGGGAGGAAGGGAAAGGAGAUUGUUAGCCGCUUUGAGACUCCUUAGGGUAGUGAUAAAGUGGGAUAUCAAAUCCAAACUCUUCUUCUUCUUCUUCUCCAGUGGUUUAGACCACAGCGCCACCUGCAUCCCUGUAUGUCUCCUUCCAGCAACUUCUGCAACCAAGCUGGGGCCAAACGUUUUGCUCUGCUGUCUUUUGGAACACAUCAGCGAGACCGAGAGCAGAGUCUUGUCAUCUGGGCACUCCAGGACCUCCAUGCACACACCCCAGUCUUGUGCCCGGCCAGAGAGAUCACUUCGGUGCUGCUAACACAGCGGUUUGACUUCACCCUGGGAGGUGCACCCCAUUGUCUCUCCGAUUUGGCAGAGGCCAAAUAUCAAAAUGUUGUGGGUGAUGGUGCAGUUUGGCGAAAAGAAAUGUAGGUGCUUAACCCACAUGCCCCUUCUCUCCCCUCUUCCAGCUGCUUUUCUCCCAAGACAAAGCCAGGGACUUUACUUGGGAGGCAGGAAAGACACAUUUCCCCCCACUCUGUGUUCCUUCCUUCCAAAACCACAACACACAUACAUUUUACAUUUACAUUUUUACCCUGGAUUUCCGGUUCCAUCUCUCCACUUAACAUCUCAUUUGACCCUCAAUAAAGCUUCUCUCAUCAAUACAGUCUCCAUUCCCCCUAAUUCAUGGAGAUAAGGUAAUAUGACUUGUGUAAUAAACUUGCCCAUUAAACAUUUCUGCCAGGAAGCAUUCUGAGGAGAUUCCAAAUUAGAUUGGGGGGGGGUGGCAGCCACUGCUGGUGAUAACUUGGCAUAUACUGUCCUCUGGUGGCUACUUGGUUAUAGCUUUUCUCAUAUGAAUUGAGAGGGACACUCUCUCAUACUCAACGGACAGAGGAUCACUAUCGGAGUAAUCCAUUAUAUGUUGUUGAAGGCUCUUCUCUAACAGAUUUAUGCUGUAUUUAUUUAAUGCACAACAGCCUCCUGCUGUUGUUGAACUGAAUGUUUAAUAGAAUGUUUAGUCUUGCAAUGAAUCUGGUUGCAUUUCUAAAAGAGCUCCAACACAAACAUCAUUAUUAUUAUUAUUAUUAUUAUUGACUUGUAAACCGCCCUAUAGCCACAGGUCUCAGGGCAGUUACAACAUAAAAUCACAGUAUGAAAAUACAAAAUACGUAACAAAAAGAAAGAGAAAAACAACCCAAUAAAUCCCCUCCCCAACACUUUUUAUAAGGACAUUGGAUGUCAAUCAGUCAAAGGCUUGGUUAAAGAGGAAUGGUUUUGCCUGGCACCUAAAGGUGUAUAAUGAAGGCACCAGGCGUACCUCCCUGGGGAAAGCAUUUCACAAACAAGGAGCCACUGCAGAAAAGGCCCAUUCUCCGCUCGUGGAGGAGGCACACAAAGAAGGGCCUCAGAAGAUGAUCUCAGCGUCCAGGUAGGUUCAUAUGGAAAGAGGCAGUCCUUGAGGCAUUCUGAAACCUGUUUGCCAUUAUCUUGGGUGAAAACCUAGAUGAAGGAACUGUUCCACAAUCAUCUAGAUCAGGCAGAAACUACCUGGCUCCUGCUGGGCUCUAGCCUCCUGGACGUCCAGACAUAUUCUAGGCUCUACCUUCAAGUACUGGUUUGUUUGGGUUUUUUAUUCCAAGGGAAAUGGACGGAGUGCACAUGCGCAUUCAACUGCCGAACAGUGUUUAUCUGCAUCAUCUAGUAGACUGCAGCUGCAGAGAUAAGAAGAGUCAUCUCUUUGUAUGGAGAGGACACUUCCUGGUUUGCCAUUUUCAACGGAGCCCAGCAAGAGAAGUGCACAGGUGUAUUGAGGCAGCACCGCAUGUUGAAAUUUUGCACCCAUGAGAACUUUGCACCCGGAGCAACUGCCCCUGGGCUACGCCACUGUCUCCUUCCCAUCACAGUGAGGAGGAAGAGAAGAGAGUGCUGUGUUGCUGUUUUGCCAAUAUCUAUGUACUGGAAUGGAGGGGCUUAUCCACACUUCCCUUUGCCCUACCACUGUCCCCCAGGGAAACCCUAUCUCUAGCGCUGAACUGGAACAAACUGCAAUUGGGUUUUCUGCAGGUUGCUGUUUGUUCUGAUUUAGUAGUGGAAAGCAAUGGGGUAAAGGCAAAACCGCUCAGUCCCAUGCCCACAAAGCAUGAAACAGAAGCGUGGACAAGGAGAGAGAGAGAGAG